UGAAUGAGGGGCCCUGGCACUGAGGCAACUCUGACUUGUCUUUUCUCAAAAAAGGAGGAGAAAGAGCUAAGAAGGAGAAAGAAGAAAAAGGAGGAGGAGAGGAAAAGGAAGAAGAGGAGGAGGAAGAGGAGACACAGGAGGAAGAAGAGAAGGAAAGUAGGAAGAAAGGGAAGUUUUGAGUUUUAAUCACUUCAAGAAACAUUCAAGAGCCAGAGAGAAAGAGUCAAAGGCAUCUUAUUGGGCCAAACUGACUCUGGCAUUGGAGGGUCUCCUCUCCAGGAGCCACUCGUCCAAGCCUCGUUCCCGAGUUGCUUCUGGAGGGACUCAGUGGAAGACAGAAGGUGUUUGGCUUUUCCUUUUGUCUGCCUAGAAGACUUCGGAUGGAAAUGGCUGCUUCCACUAGCGGUGAAUCCAGAAACAUCUCUGGGACAUUUAAAAAGCAGCUCAUCCCAGUAUCUAGUCUCUGAGGUACAAAAACAUAGCGUGACAUCCGGGGCCCUCAGCACCCCUGCUUUGCGCUGGCCGUGUCACGUGGGAAGUGGGGUAACAUCAGGGAGCUUCACCUCCUUCAGCCGAAGUUCAAAAGUCAUCCUCUCGCACUGGGGCCACUGCCACUGCAGCCAGCGUGGAGUCACUGCAGCAGAACCACCGCCUGGGACCAGUGACAGGAGGAGGAGGAUGCACCCUGCCCCUUGCGUCCCCUGUCUUGCUCAGCUCCAAGGCCUGGGAGCCUGGUUGCAUGACGUUAGCCUGUGCCCAGGCGGCUUGCUCUUUCCCGUGGCUCUCAUAAGCUGCACUCCGUGGCUUGCAGAUCAGUCAGUCAUGCUCAGCGAACAGGUUCUCUGGAGGCCCCACGGAGACGGGGACAUCGAGGAUGGUUUUCUUUGGCUGAAAUCAGGCAGCUGCAGUGCCCGGAUUUUCCCAGCACCCAUCACAGCUGUUGAUUCUGGCCAACAGGAACAGAAAGGGAAUUUGUUGAAAGAGUGCUCAACACUGGGUAGAAAUGGAGAAAGUUCCAGAACCAAGCUUCCAAAGCCCUGGAACAGUUUGCCCUGAGGAUCUGUGACGGCACCCAGACUUGAGUUCUCUUCGACACCCCACAUGCGCCCCUUGGAGAACAUGGAGUUAAGAAGUAAGGAAUCUCGGGAGGAGGACAACUCCGAGGUUGGCUGAGUCCAAGGUUCAAGAACGAAAUUGAGAAUCCAGGUCCUUUCUGUUUCUGCCCUCUACCCUCCACCUGGCCAAAAACUGCUUCCCUGGGGGCAAAACAGCCUUUCCUGGUAAUUACAACAAUAAGGUCUUUCGGUGAAACAUCCUGAGUGCUAGAAAUGGAGGGAGGGGCUUCCCAGGACUCUCUUGCUGCCAGAAGCCCCGGAAAUUCUCCAAGUGUCUUUUGAGCCCAAAAUGACUUGGAGCAGUUCACUCUUGAAGCCAC
Molecule: long non-coding RNA, 1435 nt
Filed under: Fukomys damarensis (Damara mole-rat)
Lineage: Eukaryota; Metazoa; Chordata; Mammalia; Rodentia; Bathyergidae
Description: lncRNA (ENSFDAG00000033140.1)
Source: RNAcentral